AAGUCGUAACAAGGUUUCCGUAGGUGAACCUGCGGAAGGAUCAUUACAAAAACAAAAUCCAAACCACACCACUGUGCUCUUUAUUGUGAGAAAAAUGUCUUUGUGUGUUGCUGUGUUGUUGGGGGAGAGGAGAAGAAUUUAUUUUUCCCCUUUCUUUCCUUCACACACACACAAGCUUUUCCUCACAUGUCUUUGUUUUCAAUUUUUCAUUACUCCUUGUUUAACCAACAACGGAUUACAAUGUUAAAACUUGAAACAAACAAACAAAACAAAAUGACAACUUUUUACGGUGGAUCUCUUGGCUCGU
RNAcentral lists this unclassified non-coding RNA (307 nucleotides) under fungal sp. RNAcentral describes it as "partial internal transcribed spacer region". The stretch from base 1 to 46 matches the Rfam family "Eukaryotic small subunit ribosomal RNA", at positions 1786 to 1831 of the family's 1831-position model. The record is from RNAcentral. Lineage: Eukaryota; Fungi.